Long non-coding RNA from Pseudophryne corroboree (corroboree frog), 409 nucleotides. RefSeq lists it as uncharacterized. The transcript has 3 exons. The record is from RefSeq and is a predicted model, not a curated record. Lineage: Eukaryota; Metazoa; Chordata; Amphibia; Anura; Myobatrachidae.
GUCUUUUGUGUUUUCUAGAUCAUCUGGCAAAGAGAUUUGCAGAGUGUCGGGUGACCGGCAAAGAGAUCUGCAAAGUGUCAGUUGAAGACGACGGGAGGGGUCGCAGAGGUAGCAACGACUGGAGUAUAACAUGCAGGAGAUCAUCAUCUGGCAAAGUUCUGGCAAAGAGAUUUGCAGAGUGUCGGGUGACCGGCAAAGAGAUCUGCAAAGUGUCAGUUGAAGACGACGGGAGGGGUCGCAGAGGAAUUAGUGACUGGAGAAUAGCAUGCAGGAGUGGGUGAUCCCUCAAUAGCUGCCCUGGGAGGAGAGCUGCGGACACAUGCUUCACGUGUUGGAACAUAUGCAUUACCUAUUAGGAGAUGCGGUAACGAUGCCGGCUGCCGGGUUUAUGGCAGUCAGAAUACUGACA